UCCCUGGAGGACUAGUGGUUAUGCCACAGCGCUCUCACCGCUGCAGCCUGGGUUUGAUUCCCAGCUAGGGAA
RNAcentral lists this transfer RNA (72 nucleotides) under Pangasianodon gigas (Mekong giant catfish). RNAcentral's name for it is "tRNA-Glu". It matches the Rfam family "tRNA". Rfam says of the family: Transfer RNA (tRNA) molecules are approximately 80 nucleotides in length. Their secondary structure includes four short double-helical elements and three loops (D, anti-codon, and T loops). Lineage: Eukaryota; Metazoa; Chordata; Actinopteri; Siluriformes; Pangasiidae. The record is from RNAcentral.